This 241-nucleotide long non-coding RNA is filed under the name Gossypium raimondii (Peruvian cotton). RNAcentral describes it as "long non-coding RNA (GRAI_LNC010706)". Lineage: Eukaryota; Viridiplantae; Streptophyta; Magnoliopsida; Malvales; Malvaceae. The record is from RNAcentral.
GGGCACUGUGUUCAUGAAAAUCAAACCCGGGUUAGUUUUGAUUUGGCAGUGUACAAGUCAAAGGCUAGAAGUCUUCUAGUUUCUAAGCACAAAUUCGACUCAGUUAAUUCCUUGCACAGUUAAAGAUAGGCUGGUGACGGCCUUUGGCAAAGAUGGCGUUGUGGAAAUAUGAGUCAAGGUGGAGAUUCUUAAGUAUGACUCCUAUUUCAGUCAAAUUUGAGAAAUAAUCUUCCAAUUCAAC